This 450-nucleotide long non-coding RNA is filed under the name Mytilus galloprovincialis (Mediterranean mussel). Lineage: Eukaryota; Metazoa; Mollusca; Bivalvia; Mytilida; Mytilidae. The record is from RNAcentral.
GUCAAAAAGUUUCAAGGGUAUCGACGUUUGAUUUCUUCAGUUCAACUUAAUUCUGACGGAUGUUAUGACCUAAGACCAACUUCAAUUAACAAACUAUGUGUACCAAAGAAAAGGUUCCUAAUGUAAUCCCGUGAUGACGAAUAAAAACGUUAAUUUGCUCAAACUGUGGAUCCUCUAAUGCAGUGGCAUAUGAAAUCCAAGCUAGUUAAAACAAAAUUGUAUAUAUUACGCCCUAUUAUAACGCUGCCUCCCUGGUGUUAGAGUCGGACACCAGAGAUAACAGGUUACAAUUAAAAGGGAUUGCUUUAACUGGUAUGAUUAUAAUACUAUAAAAUGUACGGCUCCGACGUCUAAUUGGAAUACCGUCGAACCAACACACUUUACAGCUUCGUUAACCUAGACUUCAGAGGUCUAUCAAAUGUUAUAUAAUUAUUAUUUAUAAAUAAAGAC